This 223-nucleotide non-coding RNA is filed under the name Morus notabilis. Its description in RNAcentral is "Eukaryotic large subunit ribosomal RNA". It matches the Rfam family "Eukaryotic large subunit ribosomal RNA", at positions 675 to 939 of the family's 3401-position model. Lineage: Eukaryota; Viridiplantae; Streptophyta; Magnoliopsida; Rosales; Moraceae. The record is from Rfam by way of RNAcentral.
UUGACAUGUGUGCAAAUCAAUGGCGGGUAAACCUGUAAGGUGCAAGGAAGCUGACUGGCGGGAUCCCCUCACGGGUUGCACCGCCAACCGACCUUCAAAAAGUUCGAGUGAGAGUAUGUUUGUUGAGACCUAAAAGAUGAUGAAUUAUGCCUGAGCGGGACAUAGUCAAAGGAAACUCUGGUGAGGACUUGGGUAUAGGGGCGAAAGACAUAUUUUUUAAAGA